AUUCCUUUAAAAUAAAUCUGUUGGA
This 25-nucleotide non-coding RNA is filed under the name Cricetulus griseus (Chinese hamster). The record is from RNAcentral. Lineage: Eukaryota; Metazoa; Chordata; Mammalia; Rodentia; Cricetidae.